This 13210-nucleotide unclassified non-coding RNA is filed under the name Octopus sinensis (East Asian common octopus). RNAcentral describes it as "dystrophin-like, transcript variant X1". Lineage: Eukaryota; Metazoa; Mollusca; Cephalopoda; Octopoda; Octopodidae. The record is from RNAcentral.
GAGUGUGUAGCGAUAGACGAAGGAAGGUAGGAGACAAGAUAAGCAAAAAAAGUCAGUCAUUAUGUUGACUGUUUUAGAAAUAUAGUGAAACAGAACAGAAACGUUGACGAUAGUUAUUUGUAAAUUGAGAAAGAUAAGAUAUUAAUUCGUAAAGUUAGGUAGAGAGAGAGAGAGAGAGUGUUUGGUAGUUUGGAGAUAGAGUGAGAGGAGCGUUAAAAAGAAAGAGAGAGAGUGUUUAGUACAGAAGUGGGCUAAAAAAAUAUUGUGGAGAGAGUGAAAUAAACUACUUAGUAAUUAGAGUUUGAGUAAGAGGGGUGUUAAUCAGAGAGAGAAAAUUGCUUUGUAAUUAAGAGUUGUGUUAAAGAAGAGAGAGGGGGAGAGAACUGCACACACACAUAUACACACACGCGCGCACAGAGAUAGUGUGAGAGAAAAAAGUGGUGUGAAAAAAGGAAUAGCGAAGGUAGUGGUAUUUAAAGGAAGACAGAAAGAAAGAAGUAAGAGAGGAAGUUGACGAAUAACAACCAACAGCAGCAGCAAUAAUAAUAAGGCAUGUGAAAUGAAAGAGGAGAGAGAGGGUUAUAGAAGAAGAAGAAGAAAGAAUAAUUAGAGAAGAAACGAGAGCGAGAAGGAGUGAUGCUGCCAGAUGAACAACUGUUUUGGCUUUAGAGACAAAUGAGAACAAGUUAAACAAACUCUUUGAGUUAAUUUAUUGUUGUUCUUCCCCAUCUGGUUGACAUUACAGUUCAACUUCACUCACAUCUGAUGAUAAUGAGUUUAAUUAAUUCAUCAGAAGAAUUGUUUACUUCUGAAACUUAAUAUUUAAUCAACUUGAUAUUAGUUAUAAUUACAGUAAUUAACAUUUUUAUUAUUCUCUGAGUAAUUUUUUUUUAUUUAGAAAUCUAACUUUUAUUGCCAACUGUCUGUUUUCUUUAUAUCUUUCUCCCGUUUGUGUUGUAAUUAAUUGUGCUGUGACUUUGGGAGAUUUAAAAAAAAAGAUAAGGAAAACUGGACACUCUUUAACUUAUUACCAUGUCGCCCGACAACAGCAUACAAGCUUCCAAACCUGUGGUAAAAGAGACAAAAACCAUGAUGAUACAUACAGUAUCUUUACAAGAAAGAUUUGCCGACUAUAUUUCACAAGAACGAAUGACAAAUGGCUGGGAAAAGAUGGAAACUUCCAAUCGCAUCCCCUACUAUCUCAGUUGUAUGACAGAGCGUACAUCCUGGGACCAUCCACUUUAUUCCAAAAUCAUGGAAGAAUUAAGUGAGUUUAAUAAUAUUCGAUUUGCUGCCUACCGAACUGCAAUGAAGUUACGAUACCUGCAGCAGAAACUGAAUUUGGACUUGGUGCCUAUCGACAAAGUUCGCAGUGUCUUCAAACAGCAUGGAUGUCCACAAGGUGAAGACCCCUUACUGAACUGCCAUGACCUCAAUGAAAUUCUACGAGACCUUUUUGCUGACUGCCAACAUCCAAGAUUAGACAAAACCACAAAUAUACGCUCAUCCGAUCUCAUUCAGAAUUUCAUAUUAAAUUUAUACGACAGACAAAGAAGAGGUGUAGUCCAUGCUCUGUCUGUGAAAACUGCUCUUGCAGCGAUGUGUGGUGGACAGCUUGGCGAGAAGUACAAAUAUUUUUAUGAAGAAAUCAGUGAUCCGAGCACCUUUAUUGACUGCAGUGUGCUGUCCAGUUUUCUUGUGGCUCUCAUGCGGAUUCCUGAUUUAAUUCAUGAAGGAAUGGCAUAUGGCGGUUUAAACUCAACUCCUGCUUUAGAAAGUUGUCUUCAAAUGAGUGAUUGUAAAUAUGGUAUUUCUGAAGACAUGUUCUAUGCCUGGCUUUACAAAGAACCCCAAACAUUGGUCUGGUUACCAACCCUUCACAGAAUUGUCACUACAGAAUCUGUUAAACAUGAAGUCAAAUGUAGCAUCUGCAAAGAUUUCCCAAUCAUUGGAUUCCGCUAUCGGUGCCUUAAGUGUUUCAAAUUCGACAUAUGCCAACAAUGUUUCUUCAACGGUAAAACUAAAGGCAAACACAAACUCAAGCAUCCUCUGAAGGAAUUUUGUGCUGUUGCCAGCACCAAACAAGAUAUGAAAGCAUUCCUAAUUACUGUGAGAAACAACUUGAGUAAAAAACACAGGUACAAACGUCGAGUAAAAUACCUACCUGUAGAUAAUUGCAACAGCAGUAUUGGAGGUGGCAGCGACACAAUGUCGACUGCAUCAACUCGGAGGUCUACAAUGUACGAAGAACAGGUUUCUCGGCUUACCACAAGUCAUGCAUCUGAUAGUGCUUCCAGUGCUCCAGCUAGGCUUUGUGAAAUGGAACAUCCAACCAGAGCAAAGCAAACAUGUUCAAAAUCUUUACAAACUGAUAAUCUGAUGGUAUCAGUCAGUGUCCACAACAAGGAAAACCGUACACCAUCUCCAACAGAAACGGUAGCUUUGCAACAAGUACAGGAACUCCAGAAGAUUAUUCGAGAUUUGGAGUCUGAAAAUCGAAAUCUCUAUCGGCAGUUGGCUGAAAUUCGAGACAAUGGAACAGACAGCUGCAGUAGCUUGUCAUAUGGAGAUGACAUUGAAAUGGAGAAAGAAUUGGUCGAAGCGAAAAAGGAAGUUGUGGACGACCAUAAUCUGAGGCUGAAUAAGCAGCUGAAUCGAGUUCACGUCAUGCUGAAGAAUAAUGCAGCAACUGAAAAAUACCAAAAUCCAGUGGUAACAAAUGGAACUAACCACAAUAAUUCACCUUUAAAAAAUGGUUACCACUUAAAGAAUGGUUAUAAUUUUCCUAAUGGAUUCCAUAUUCCACAGAAUGGUUUUAAACCACAAACAAUUCCUCCAUUUACAAAUGGUUACAAGUCAUAUAAUGGCCUGCAAACCCAAAAUGGUUAUAAACUACCAAAUGGUUUCCUUCACCAAACUAAUCCUCAAAAUGGAUUUCCAAUUCAGAAUGGUUUCCAAACCUCCAAUAAUUACCAGUUCCAUAAUGACCAUUCUUCACAAGGUGGCUUCAGUUUACAGAAUGGGUCAGAGCUUCCUGCACUUCUUAAAGAACCACCACCUUAUUCUAAUAUGACCAGCGUACCUGAAAUAGACAUUAAUUUUGACCAAUCCACUCUUGACUCGACUCAUAAGUUUGAUGUUUCUUCACCAUGUUCUUCAAUUAUUUCUCCAAGUGAGGCAGAAGAGGAAAUGGACAAAUUGGUGAAAAAAUUGAGAGCAUUUCCACAGAAUCAUUCUUACUCAGCUUGUUCAAUGUCAGAAUUUACAAGAACAAAUGAAGACCUGUUUCAAACAGUUGAUGGAGUAAACACAGCCAUGACCAAUUUAAUCAACCGUGUUGCACCACCCCAGGCAGCAAUAUAAAAAGAAAACUUCCAUCGUGAGAUGCAGGAUAAAGCAGUCGGAGAAUGGAGGAGAGGAAAUCAUCGAAGCUGUUGGAAUUUCUUUUAAUACUUUGUUUUCUAAAUGGAUUUCUUUAUGAUUGAAUCAGUUCCAAUUAUUCUGUGUUGUCUGCUAUGUUCUCAUUAUUGUAAAGAGGGUGGCAAGCUGGCAAAAUCGUUUGCACAUCAGACAAAAUUCUUUGUGGCAUUUUAAAUCCCACUGAGGCCAACUUUGCUUGUCAUCCUUUCAGAUUCUAUGAAAAAGGUACAAAAAAAGUACCAGUUAAGUACUGGGCUUGGUGUACUUGACUUGCCCCUCCCCUCAAAAAUUACUAGCCUUGUGCCAGUUGAUAAGUGCAUCUUAUAAUUAUUGUACAUUCAAGUUUUUAUUAAACACCAAUUGUACACCCAAAAGAAAAAGAUUAUUUAACAAACAGCCCUGAAACCCUUAAUUCAGGUAAAUCAGUGGAUAACAGCUGUUCACAUAUUUUUAAAAACAUAAAUUGUAGCCUAAAAGUUUCAUUUCAACACAAAAUCUCUCUUUUCCAAUCUAACCUUGAUUUGCUCAGUGAAUUCUAUUCAUAAAAUGGUUUUUUGUUGUUUUUUAUCUGGUUAGACAAUCAACCAAUCAGUUUAGAUUAUUUGUUGUUGAUGUGGUCACAUGACUAGUUAAAGCCCUUCCUUUGGCAUCUCUAUGAAAGAGAUUUGUCUCCAUUGUCAGAUUUCAGUAAGCAAGAAUGAGCAUUGAAGAAGUCUCUCUUUUUGACACAUCUUAGACACAUGAACAUUUUGUAAAUUCACACCAAAAUCUCAACAGUUUCAUUCUUUCAAUUGUAAGCAUUUCAUUACAAUAUUGUUUUAUGUUUUUGCAUCUUUCAGACACAUUUUAAGAACCAUUUUGUACAAGAUUUUCUGAAAGGAAUCUUUUCGCAUAUGUUUGGAUUAACAGGUCAAUCAUUUAUAUGUUCAUCAGCAGAUUAGAUAUUGGUAGAUUAGAGAUGGUCCAAGUCAAUGGAUUACCAAAUAAUUGGGAGGUUGACAGUUUAUAUUCUUUCAGGAUUAAGAGAGAGAGAUUUAACUCUCAGACAGCAAAGUCCACCUGGCCAUGAAUAGGUAUCACAAUUAAUAACAAGUUCUAAAGAGCCCUGUCAAAUGAACAGGUGCUCCUUUUUAGCUUCAACAGCGUUGAGGUAAAUCCUGCUGUGAGUCCAGCCAAACAAGGGGGCUGUCUUCAUAACUAAAUAGGUUACAGGACUUUCCAUUUUUGUAGACUAAUGUCAAGGCUGGUUAAAUUAAUGUCUCAGUAGAGAUAGUAGUUAGAAGUUUAAUAAUUCGUGACCAGUACAGGUGGCCUACACCAUCUGUAAACAAUUACAAGGAACUUCAGUUACUACUAAAAACAAAAUGUGGGAGCACUGUAUAUUUCAUGAGUGUUUCAUUUGCUUUCAAUUGUUAGUUCUUAUCUCCUCUUGUUUAUAACUUAGAAAGGUCUGAGUUCUGUAAAACUAAUGGCCCCCUUGAAUACAGGAUGAUGACAUCUUCCCUGGCAUCCAAUCAACCAAUAAGACUUGACCACAAGAUCUAUAAUCAAUAUCUAUAUUUUCUGAUGGGAUGUUUGUACUGUCAAAUCAAACCCUUUUGUUGGCCCUUUUUCCUUUUCUUUUCUAUUUCCAGAAUCCACCGGGUUUGUUUUCGUCAAGUAGUCUGGUUAGGUUUUAACUUCCAAAUUUAUAUUUGAAAAGUCAUCAAUGAAAAUGCCUCUGUAUUCAAAUACCAUUCCAGUCUAUUUGUUUACGUGUGAGGCCCAAUAAAGCAGGCUACAACCAUUUCUUCUUAUUUGUGGCUGAAAGACAAAAAGUUAUUUUCAGAUUCACUUCAAAAGUGAACAAAGGAAGAUUUCCUUAUUUUAAUUUCCUUUGUUGUUUUGACUCCAGUCAACUCUGAUUGGACUCUCAUGAAAGCCAUUCCACUUACAUCCAUCUCAUCCUUCUCUCAGGUUUUGCACAUCUACAUUAUCUCUGUCACUUUCUUUUUCAAGAUUUUAGCAUAUAUUUUGCGAGAAAGUUGGCUAUUAUUUUUAGUAGGUUGAAAUGGCUGUUAGUUUGACUUGAUUUCAUUCUACAGAGUCUAACAAAGAAACUUGAUGGUUUUUAAAUAAAUGUACAGAGCUUGUUUAUAAACCGUUUAAGACAGAGCUUUUAUUUCGUUUUGAAAAUGUCAUUCAAAUGCUUUCCUUUGUUUCGCACACAUGCUUCUAGCCUGACCUGGAACUUUUGCAUUUUGCAUCAAGCCAUGUUCUUUGGAAAUGGCAGCUUUCAGUUCCAUCAAGUGUGAACAGUUUGUUGAUGGACAUCGUCUUGUAGGAAUAGCUGCAAAUAAUCCCAAACCAAAAGAUUAGGCAGUUGAGCCAGCCAUGGCACCUCAUUGCACUGACAACAUUCCUGUAAUAAUGUACAUGGAAGCUUUGUGUGGGUGGUCACUGACUUACCUGCCCACCCUUCUCUCAGUAUGUUGUGUAUUAAUGCCAAGUCUGUUCAGUUCUAGAAGGAAGACACCUAACAUGGAAUUACCACAUGGAAGUUUACUAUGCAACACCACACACUUCAUAUUAACAAUUAAGGAAUUCUCACAAAACUGUGGAUUGUUGUCUGACUUGGCACAAGUUUUGCCAAUUUCUAUAACUAGACACAGAAAUGCACUUUGUCAACGCUUGCCAUCUAUUGUCUGCUUUUUCUGGUUUUCCCAAUCUUACUAUUUUAUUUCUUGCAACAGACAUAUUCUUAUCAGGACAAACAUUUUAAUGAAUGUGCAAUAAAUUUCACACAACAUUCUGAAAGACUUAACAAUGCCAUGCUUUGAUGCAGAACUAUAACGACUUAUUCAUUACGGCCCAUUUAAUGGCCUUGCUAUUCCUUAGGGUCAGGCAAUGCUCAAUUGGUCAACCUAAACUUUUCUCCUCAUAAUGACAUCAAAUUUCAACUGACCAUUUUUCCAUGAGAUCCUACAUCAAAAAUACAAACAGAAUUUUCGCUGUGUUUAAGUAACCAAGUUACCACAUAAUAAAAAUUUAAAAACCCGUCAUCACAAAAUCACAAUGGUGCACAUUCCACUGCAUCACAGCUACUGAAAUAUCAUCCUGCCUUUGUGUUGCUCAGCAUCAUCAACUAUGUGACCACCCCGUCCUCUUAAAAACCUUCAUCUUUCCAUGCCAGACUCUCUACAAAUGUGUCUAAGGUUAAUCUAUUCACAAAUAUUCUAAUAAAUGGUUAAAUGCGUCCCAGUUGUUACCACUGAUUUACAAACUCCAAAGUAAGCAGGGUUUAGUUUCAAUCCUUGGUGAUUACAAUAAAUAGUCCAGGGGUGUUUGAAAUUCAUGUUAUUUAGCCCUUGGUCAGCAAUGGUUAAAUAAACCUAUGAUCAAUGGUGUUUCAGCUAUGACCAUCCUGCCUUUUAUGCAAAUAGUAUAUCCAGGACUUCAUUAUUAUCUAAUUUUUAAUGACAGUAAGUAGUGAUUUGAGGGAAGCCUGGCUGCUAUUUCUAGCAGGCCAAGCAACCCAGGUGGGGACUCCUGUUAAAAAUGGUUGUGAAUGUCAAAUGUUUUGUUGUUGUUUUUUUUUUUUGGCCCCUUUUGUGAUUUUUUGUAAAACAUUACUUUGUUGAACUGGUUUGCUCUUAACUGUGAGUAUUUUUAUUUUAUUCAAUUUAUUUGUGAAAUAAGUGAGAGUAUCAUAACAUUCGUUUGAUAUUAUUGUGUGGUGUCCAGGCAAUUGCCACAGUCCACUGGAUUCUGCACUAAUUAAAAACAUUAGCCAUCAGGAAGAUCUUCAGCUUGCUCACCCUGUGUUGGCAUCAUCAUCAUCACAGUGCCGCUCAAAACAAUUUAGAAUGGACAAACUUCAUUUCCGUCAAUUAUCUUUCGAACAGAAGCCAUUAAACUUGAACCACCAAAGACACCGUAACCACAUUUUCAAUUCUAAUCUGUGAUGGUUAAAACAUUUCACAUCCAAAUAUCUCAUUGACUUAAACACCCAGUAAGUCUAUGAUGCUCCCACUUAUUUCCACCACAAAUAACUGCUUUUUAUGUCGUGUUUAAAAUUUGUUGCUGCCAUGUUUAAACCUGUUAAUCAUUGUUUUUCUCACUUUUAUUCAGCUCCCUAAUUAACAAUUAUUAAUGAAUGCCUAACUUUACCUUCCAUAUUACUAAUUACUUCAGAAAAUACCAAAUUUCACAGUUCCGGUGAGAGAACUAAAAAUCGCACUUCUUGUAUCUUCUCCAUUAUAAUUCAUGUUUCUUAAGAUCUAAUUUGUUGCUCGUUAACUCUUGCCAUAAGUUUUAACAUUGCUGAUAUCUCACCUUAGUUUUAUAUUUUACCUGAUAUUUCAACAGCCGACAUGGUUUACCAUAUCCAAACUUUGCAGUUUAUUGAAAUGUGGGGCCAAUUGAGAAAGUAUUGAUACAUUUUUAUAACUUUUUAUUACUUGAGACUAACCUAAAUCACUAAAACUCAUUAACUAUAUUUCCUGAGUAAACUGGGUUUUUUUUAAACUCCUCAUCAAAAACAGGAGAAUCGCUCUGACUAUUUUUCUGCAAAAGAAAAAAAAAAUAUUGUUUGCUCUGAAAUUUAAUUUUUAAAUCUUUAUUUAUUGUUUCUUCUGUUAUAUUAAUUUAUUCACUAAUGACUUGGAAAAAUUAACAUAAUUUUCUUUUAUGUAGAUUUAGAAAUUACUUUAGAACCAAGUCCUUCUCUCUCACUGUUUUCCUUUGUCAGCCAAGUACUGCCUUAGAAUUUGCCAUUGUUCACACAGUGCCUAUAUAUGUUGAUAGAAAUUUGUUGGCCUUCAUUUUACACACACAGUCGAUAGCUGUUGACAAACAUUAAAAUUUGACUUUGUCAUGCAAUUUCUGUAAACCAGAGAAUUUUUUUAAACAGGAAAAUAGCUUUUAUCUUUGCCUGACUUCAAGUUCAGAACGAAGACUGAUUGAUGAGAGGAAAUCACUAACAAAGGGACCAAUUCUCAUUUAAUAUCUUCUAUCAUUGUGCCUUUUUCUCUCUUUUUUUUUUUUUUUAAUAUUUUAAAAUAUUACCAUGACAUGAAAAGGUCCAAAUUCCGUUUCCCUUUGCUGCUUGCAAUGGAACCUAUGACUAUUUAUUGCUGCUUUUUAUUAACCAAGAAUGAGUUUGUAUCAAUUUAUAUUAUUUUGCCCUCAUUAUUUCUUUUUAAACUAAUAACAACACAACUUGGCUUUUUAGCCAUAUAACUAACCAAGAGGCCAGCAAUUCGUGUUGUCUCUGAUAUUGCAUUGUAUCUGGACCAAUCUGUUGUAGAGAGAUGUAAAUAGGUAGGAGCACUGUAUAAUUGACAAGUGUUUCAAUAGCUUUUUAGCUAAGUUCAACUCUAAUAGUUUGGGUCCCAUUGGUCUAGAAAUCAGUGAAACUGAUCACUCCUAGAUGGAUACUUCUGGUCAUCUGUCCAUUUUCUCUGCCCACUUUUUCCUGGGAGAGCGAUGGUGGUAGAGUCCUCAGGUGCCUCCUCCCGUCGUUAAACUUUCCGGUUGAUUCCCAAGCAUAACCGAGAUUAUGGAUAUUAUCCAGCCAUCUCAUUCUUGGUCGACCCCUAAGUCUCCUCCUCCCAGUUGGCUUGGCUUCAAGAAUCCACCAUGUGAUUCUUUCCUCAGACAUUCUAACCACACAUGCCCACUGUACCAGAAGUUGUCACCUUCUCAACCUUGAAAAGUUGACUGAAUGUGAUUUGCUUCUCUUUAACCAUAGAUGUCUCCUAGAAUCAGUUUUGCAUUCUUUAUUAUCAUUAAUCUGUCAUUUUUGUCAUAUUCUGAUUAAGAAAAUAAGUUUUCACUGAAAUAAUUUGACUUCUAAAAGAACAAGAUGAACAUUUUUUUUAUUGGCAUAAUUAAUGUUCUUCUGAUUAACAAAACAGUUAAUCCCUGUUUCUUGAGGUUAAUGAAGUCAGUGUUGUCUCUCCUCCUUAAAUUAGUUCCCUGUAUCCAUUCCUACAACACACAAGCCGAAUGUCCCUCUACAGCUCCCUUACUUAACCAAAUAAACCGAACCCCCCCCCCCUCCACUGUAAUUCUCUGUAUCCAUUCAUAAUUAAGAUUCCCAAACUCAGGUGAUUCAAAGUCAACCUACGCUUUGCAGUGGAUUUCCCCAAGUGAGGUGACCAGGCUGGUUUUGAAUCACUUUUGUUUUCUAAGUCGAAUUAGAAACCAAACUAAUUGCCGUUGCAUUUAGCUUUCUGAAAGGUGAAAUUUUCGAAAGUUUAACAUUUGUUUUUUUCUUUUUUAUUAACCAUUUAAAAAAAAAACUUUAAUAAUAAUUCUCUCUUUUAAAGUGAAAAUUAAUCAGGUAUUUCAGAUAACUGUAGAUUAAAAAUAGCAAUGGCAUUAGAACGAAACUGUAAAAUCCACUUGGGAGGAAGUUUCUUUUAGUGGCAGACGAAAGUAAGAAAAUUUUCAUUGCUGGGAUAGAGUUGUUAGGGGUUCAAAUAGCACUCCCAUCAUUUCAGUGUUGGUAAACAUAAGCAGCAUUAUAUGGGAGGAGGGGUUGAUUGCUCAAGGCGGAAGUAAAGGUAUUGAGUACAUUCUGUCCCCAGCCAUUGUGUGUGUGUGAUGUAUAUGAUGUUAGCACGAGUCCAGUGGUCUGUCUUUACAGAUGAUUGGAUGCUAUUCUACGGACAAAAACUUUCCCAAACCCCAUUGACAACAUGUUUUGGGAACAGUUAUAGAUUUAGGGGUUGGCUAAGCUAAAUUGAUUUGCUUUACUCAGCUGUUUUAAAAGAAUGGAGUUUAGAAUUGUGGCAGGUCUGGGUAGGAAUUACAUGAAGGGGACGAUAUAGAGACAAAAAUGAAGAGAAUUUAGUUUUAAUAUAAAGUAACUAAUCUUUGUCAUUAACUUGAAACACAAACAGUAAUUAUAGAAUUUUUGGGGGCCAUGGUUAAAUUCUGAACAUAAUACAAAAGUUAUUGGAUGGAGAGGAGGAAAUGUGUGGAUUUUUCAUUUUAAUACAAGUGGCUUUAUUUGAGAAUUACACAAAGAUUAUGGGUCACCAUUGGUUGGAUUUCAUAUGCAACCAAUGACAACUGAAAAACUGGGAUGCGUUCUGUUACUUGUCCAGAUACACUAUUUGGCCAUGUUGCUCAUCACUGGGGAUCUGGUUUGUGUUGGUCAACCACAUGCUCAUGGCAGGUGAGGGAACUGGAGAUGGGACUCUGGUUGAUGGGUCACUUGGGUGGACCCAGGAAUAAACCAACAAAUGAUGAAUGGCAACAGUGCAUGUCAUGACUUGAGUGAAAGUUUCAGACUUUAAUAACAAUAAUUUCUUGUACAGUUUGUAAAAUAUUUUGGAUGGGUCUGAUUAAUUUUCUAUAAAAAAUGUAGAAGAGGAAACUGCAUGUGUGUGAUAACAAGCUUUAAUCUUCUUUAAUACAAAGCAGGUCUUGUUUGAUUUGAUGUGGUAUUUAAAUUAGCCAACAGAAACAGUGAAAUAAUCUCAUAUUUAAUUUUUAAUCCAACUGACCUGAACGUUGCAUUUUUUUGGUAACUCCAAGAAUCAGAGCUGAAGCUUCAAACUGUCUUCAUUCAUUUAUCUGGUGCUAUAUCAUCAUCAUCAUUUCAUGUAUCAAGUUUUUCCAUGCAGGCAUGGAUUAAACAGGCUGGGUGAUCUUUUUUUAUCACCAAUCACUUCGCAGUGUAGGCUGGGUGUAUUAUUUUAUUGACUCAACAGCAGUAUUAGACUAGUGAGUUUCGUUCUACCCAGGACUAGAGUCUCUCCCCCCUCCUCUAUCAUGUGUGAGUAUUUAUUCAGAGUUACUACUUCAAGCUCCCUUCACAUCUGCAAGCAAUUAGAAUUGCAUCCUUCUCGCUAACCGUUGGGUUUGUUCAGAGAGCACAACUUUGUAGAUGUGUCACUUCACUACAUCUGAUAACAUAUGUUUCUCUGUAAUGUAAAGGAAGGAAGGAGUUUUGCUAGCAAGGGAGAGUUCACAGUGUCAGUCUAAGAAUGCUGAGAUUAAUGUUUGUUUCCAACAACGUAGAGGGUGGGUGCUUAGUUACCAAGGGGGGCCCACAAUAGUUGUGUUAAGGUGGAUGGGCAUUAAAGACUCUAUGGCUUUUGACAACCUAAUUUAUCAUAUUGGAGAGAAAGUAGGCGGGCAGAAAUACCAACCAGACGCUGUACAUAAAUUUCAAUCAUUUUUAUAUCAUAAACAUUGAUGUUUGUUUUUUAUAGAUGUGAGCGUGACAGGAAUUCUCACAAAUGAUUAACAGAUAAACCUGGGCAGUAAAAAUGGCAUGAGCCGACUGCUUCGAGAGUUUGGUUCUCAUAGCUCAUCGCUGUGGCCCAAAACAUUUCUUACGGAUUCACCUCAUUUAGCUUUAAAUAAGAAAUACAAACACUGAAGAAUUGGUGAGGGUUUCCUUAUCUUGCAUGUUUAACUAUAUCCAAUGAUACUGAGUUCAAAUCCCACCAAGGGUUGUCUUUAUCUUACAUCCUUAUAACACUCAGUCAAAUACCAGGACUGUUUCUCUCUUGGAAUCCAUUUAAUUGAAGGCAUCAAAAAUGGAAUAUUCACUGUGAACUCACUCAAAUUGGCCAAAAAGCAAUCAGCAAAAACUCACCUUGUGCAUCUUUUUGGGGAAGUCACUUGGCUAUAAAUAAAGUCUAUAAAAUAAUUGAGGAAUCAUCUAGGCUUACUACCAUUAUUUAAAUAAGCACCAUUUACAGAUACAAUCAGUGGAUUCUUACUUUCUUUGAGGAUCUUUAAAUAAGAAGAAAUAUUGAUGAUAAUUAUUUCAUGAAAGUAUUUGAAAAAAAAAAAAGGUAACUUGUUAGAAAUGGAAAUGGUUUUUAGUUUAAUCUGUUUUGAUUCUUGAAGAAAGUGUGUGAAAAUUAAGCAGAUAUGUGCAUUUUUAGCAAAUUUAACGUGUAUAUAACUUUGUUUUUGUUUUGUUUUUAUUUCUUACUCCUCUCUUUCAUAUUACUGCUGCUUAUUUUAUCAAUCCCAAUGGAAUGCUAAGUCAACAAGAUUUAAAAUUGAGGAAUUUACUGCACUAACACUUAGCUAGCCACAACCAUUCUCUGUAGACAAUUAUUUAUUUGGAUGCGUAUGUUUUUGUUUCAAUUCUGAUGAUUUAAUUAAAAAGGGUAAAUAAUGGCAUUCAAACAAUGUCAUAGAUACUACAUUUUUCCAACAGAGAAAUAAUAUCCCCCCCUUCUACACACCAUAUAUAUAUACACACACACACACACACACACUUGUAUAUAUUUGACUUUCUUUUGUAUAUUUAACAUUUGUAUAUAGAUGACUACAAAUCCGUUUGAUUAUAUUGCUUUUUUUAAAACAAUUUGUUAUAAAAAAAUAUUUUAAAAUGUUUUUUAUGUUAAUCUGAUAUUAUGUAGUUUUUUUUUCUUUGCCCUGUUAAUUGCAUUUUAUGGCUUCAUUAAACAUUUUGUUCUAUCAAAUGUAUCCAUGGUACCAUUAGCCAGCUCAAAGCUGUUUUUGUAUUUGUAGCCAUUUUACUAUUGAUAGCUUCUUAAAAAUCUUCAUCGUGCUUUUAUUGCCAUUAUUAGAGCAGAAAGAUGGUAGAAAUUGGAGAAAAGUCAGCUUAAAUACCUUUGAGGUGUUUAGUUUUAUCUCUCUAUAUUUUAUCUUCAAUUCCUACAAAAGGCGACUUUACUGUUCGUCCUGGUGGCUGUUGAUUUAAGUUCCAAUAAAUAAAAAUCAAUUAAAUCAACAACACCCGCCUCUGCCUAUGUUAAAUAUCAUCAUUAUUAUUUUCUGAAUAAAAACUAUUUCUCUAUAACAUUGACAA